GGAAAUCUGGUCGAGCUCAAAUGAUCAAAAUGGUCUUUGCUGAAAUGCUAUAUAAUAUUUGGUUAGAGAGAAACUCAAGAUUGUUCAAUCACACAUCCUGUUCCAGUGGACAUCUACUCAGAAGCAUUGCUUAUACAUGUCAUGUUCGGAGCCCCCCUAAAGUUAGAACACACCUUUUGCAUUAUCUUCUGUAAUUAGAAAUAUAGGUAUAGUAAAUAUAGAUGUUAGCUAGUUUUUUUAUAGAUGAUAGUCAGCU
RNAcentral lists this long non-coding RNA (256 nucleotides) under Nicotiana benthamiana. Its description in RNAcentral is "long non-coding RNA (NBEN_LNC033055)". The record is from RNAcentral. Lineage: Eukaryota; Viridiplantae; Streptophyta; Magnoliopsida; Solanales; Solanaceae.